UGCAUUUCAGUUGCUAGUUAACAUUGCUUUCAUUGUUCUAGGACUCUUGCAACAAAAAAAGCAACCAGCAGAAUCUUGGUACUAUUAAGUCUUCUAACUUGUGUACUGAGAUUAUUGAGUAUACAAGCCCAACGGAAACUGCUGUCUGCAAUCUGGCUUCAAUUGCUUUGCCAGGGAAAAGGGGGUUCCAAUUGAACCACAACCAUCUAAGCAUGUUGGAAGCCGAGGCUCUACAAAUCGAUACUUUGAUUUUGACAAACUGGCAGAGGUUACUGCAAUAGUUACAACAAACCUGAAACCUCAUCUGACACAUUCAUUUUACUUGGCAUGGCUUUUGAUUCACCAGAGACCCAGGAUCUAAACAAAGAAAUAUUUGAAACAAUAUACUACCAUGCUCUGAAAGCUUCUUCUGAUUUGGCUGCAAAGGAAGGCCCUUAUGAAACCUAUGAGGGUAGUCCCAUAAGCAAGGUAUAUGUUAGUGUUUCUGC
Molecule: long non-coding RNA, 488 nt
Organism: Ipomoea nil (Japanese morning glory)
Lineage: Eukaryota; Viridiplantae; Streptophyta; Magnoliopsida; Solanales; Convolvulaceae
Exons: 4
Source: RefSeq, a predicted model, not a curated record